GGGCCCAUAACUCAGUCGGUUAGAGUGGCGGACUCAUAAUCCGUUUGUCCUAGGUUCGAGUCCUAGUGGGCCCA
Molecule: transfer RNA, 74 nt
Filed under: Chitinivibrionales bacterium
Lineage: Bacteria; Pseudomonadati; Fibrobacterota; Chitinivibrionia; Chitinivibrionales
Description: tRNA-Ile
Rfam family: tRNA
About the family: Transfer RNA (tRNA) molecules are approximately 80 nucleotides in length. Their secondary structure includes four short double-helical elements and three loops (D, anti-codon, and T loops). Further hydrogen bonds mediate the characteristic L-shaped molecular structure. tRNAs have two regions of fundamental functional importance: the anti-codon, which is responsible for specific mRNA codon recognition, and the 3' end, to which the tRNAs corresponding amino acid is attached (by aminoacyl-tRNA synthetases). tRNAs cope with the degeneracy of the genetic code in two manners: having more than one tRNA (with a specific anti-codon) for a particular amino acid; and 'wobble' base-pairing, i.e. permitting non-standard base-pairing at the 3rd anti-codon position.
Source: RNAcentral